This 119-nucleotide ribosomal RNA is filed under the name Triticum aestivum (bread wheat). The record is from RNAcentral. Lineage: Eukaryota; Viridiplantae; Streptophyta; Magnoliopsida; Poales; Poaceae.
GGAUGCGAUCAUACCAGCACUAAAGCACCGGAUCCCAUUAGAACUCCGAAGUGAAGCGUGCUUGGGUGAGAGUAGUACUAGGAUGGGUGACCUCCUGGGAAGUCCUUGUGUUGCAUUCC